RNAcentral lists this ribosomal RNA (369 nucleotides) under uncultured bacterium. Its description in RNAcentral is "bacterial SSU rRNA". It matches the Rfam family "Bacterial small subunit ribosomal RNA", at positions 59 to 449 of the family's 1533-position model. The record is from RNAcentral.
AAGUCGAACGCACCCGCUUCGGCGGGUGAGUGGCGCACGGCUGAGUAACACGUGGGAACCCGCCCCCCGGUGGGGGAUAACGCGACGAAAGUUGCGCUAAUCCCGCAUACGUCCUUCGGGGGAAAGCGCAGUGCGCGCCGGGGGAGGGGCCUGCGGCCCAUCAGGUCGUUGGUGGGGUAAUGGCCUACCAAGCCGAUGACGGGUAGCUGGUCUGGGAGGAUGACCAGCCAGACUGGGACUGAGACACGGCCCAGACUCCUACGGGAGGCAGCAGCAAGGAAUUUUCGGCAAUGGGCGCAAGCCUGACCGAGCAACGCCGCGUGCGGGAUGACGGCCUUCGGGUUGUAAACCGCUUUUCGGGGGGACGAC